This 480-nucleotide ribosomal RNA is filed under the name uncultured bacterium. RNAcentral describes it as "partial 16S ribosomal RNA". It matches the Rfam family "Bacterial small subunit ribosomal RNA", at positions 28 to 507 of the family's 1533-position model. The record is from RNAcentral.
GAUGAACGCUAGCGGCAGGCCUAAUACAUGCAAGUCGAGGGGUAUGGGUUGCUUGCAACCCAGAGACCGGCGCACAGGUGCGUAACGCGUAUGCAAUCUACCUUAAUCAGGGGGAUAGCCCGGAGAAAUCCGGAUUAACACCGCAUAACAUUGAGUUGUGGCAUCACAGUUCAAUCAAAUAUUUAUAGGAUUAAGAUGAGCAUGCGUGACAUUAGUUAGUUGGUGAGGUAACGGCUCACCAAGACCACGAUGUCUAGGGGAUCUGAGAGGAUGACCCCCCACACUGGUACUGAGACACGGACCAGACUCCUACGGGAGGCAGCAGUAAGGAAUAUUGGUCAAUGGGCGCAAGCCUGAACCAGCCAUGCCGCGUGCAGGAAGACGGCCCUAUGGGUUGUAAACUGCUUUUGUACCGGAAUAAACCUUCUCUUGCGAGAGAAGCUGAACGUACGGUAAGAAUAAGGAUCGGCUAACUCCGUG